AGGGAUGAAAAUGGAAGUCUCCCUGCAAUACCUGCAUCGCCUGCAAAAAGCAAUGUACCAGUGUAUAGCAGUUGAAUCCAAAUGAGAUCUAAGGCAAUUGCUGAGUUGCAAGACAAAGUUUCAAGUUCCAAAGACAACCCAGGUGGGGUAAGGGAAUGGAAUUCUUCGGACAAAUAAAAACAAUACCUUGAGUUCUCAGCGUUCCAUACUCUCAGACCGCAUCAGUUGCAAGACCAGCCUGCACUAAUGCAAUCGUCAGAGUUCUUAUGGACAACAGAAAAGCAUAUAUAUCCGCCUGAUCGGCAUUUUGAAGUGUCAUCAAAACACCAUGGUGUUAGCUGCUUGGUACCUUGCAUAGUGACCGGUCAAGGUUCAUUGUAACUUCAGUAAAUCAUUUAUGUUUUUCAGUAAAUCAUUUAUGUUUUCUGAAUUGGAAUUUGAUAGUAUGCCUAAAGCAAAUCUUGCUUGUUGGUAAAAUGUGAUUGCAGAUUGUAAAUCUGAUCUCACUUCAUAAACCAAUCUAUUUAUAUUCUGAGACUCUGGGUAUUGAGGUAACAAUAAA
Panicum virgatum (switchgrass) is the source of this 562-nucleotide long non-coding RNA. RefSeq lists it as uncharacterized. The transcript is spliced from 2 exons. NCBI's taxonomy places the organism in Eukaryota, Viridiplantae, Streptophyta, Magnoliopsida, Poales, Poaceae. The record is from RefSeq and is a predicted model, not a curated record.